CCUACGGAGGCAGCAGUGGGGAAUAUUGCACAAUGGGGGAAACCCUGAUGCAGCGACGCCGCGUGAGUGAAGAAGUAUCUCGGUACGUAAAGCUCUAUCAGCAGGAAAGAAAAUGACGGUACCUGACUAAGAAGCCCCGGCUAACUACGUGCCAGCAGCCGCGGGAAUACGUAGGGGGCAAGCGUUAACCGGGUUUACUGGGUGUAAAGGGAGCGUAGACGGCGCUGCAAGUCCGGAGUGAAAGCCCAGGGCUUAACCAUGGUACUGCUAUGGAAACUGUAGUGCUUGAGUGCGGGAGGGGCAGGCGGAAUUCGUGGUGUAGCGGUGAAAUGCGUAGAUAUUAGGAGGAACACCGGCGGCGAAGGCGGCCUGCUGGAGCGUAACUGACGUUGAGGCUCGAAAGCGUGGGGAGCAAACAGGAUUAGAUACCCUAGUAGUC
Molecule: ribosomal RNA, 439 nt
Filed under: uncultured bacterium
Lineage: Bacteria
Description: partial 16S ribosomal RNA
Rfam family: Bacterial small subunit ribosomal RNA
Source: RNAcentral